GACGAAGGUGGCAAGCGUUAUUCGGAUUUACUGGGCAUAAAGCGCGUGUAGGCGGUUGCCAUAGUCAGGUGUGAAAGCCUUGAGCUCAACUCAAGAAAUGCACUUGAUACUGGGCGACUAGAGGACCGGAGAGGAUAGUGGAAUUCCCAGUGUAGUGGUGAAAUACGUAGAGAUUGGGAAGAACACCAGUGGCGAAGGCGGCUAUCUGGACGGUUUCUGACGCUAAGACGCGAAAGCGUGGGGAGCAAACAGG
This 253-nucleotide ribosomal RNA is filed under the name uncultured bacterium. RNAcentral's name for it is "partial 16S ribosomal RNA". It matches the Rfam family "Bacterial small subunit ribosomal RNA", at positions 524 to 776 of the family's 1533-position model. The record is from RNAcentral.